ACUGGAUGAAGCGUGCAAUACCUGUGUAUUUAUGGGGACUUUGUUGCUCAAAGGCGCAAUGUAAAUGUAUGCUGGGAGAUUUGAUUAGCAAUUUGGUGAACAACUCUGUUGAAUGAAGCCAGGAAAGAAGCAUCAAGAAAGCAGAAAUUUGGAGCUUAACUGCUGCUGAGCUUAAUUAGAAAAGAAGAAGAAGAAGAAGAAGGACACGCGUGUUUGUGCGUGCAGUACCGCUCCUCCACUCUCAGUCUCAAGAAACAUUCACUGCAGUCAUCCUUGCCUGCUGCUAUUAAAUCAUAAGUAGUAUUUAAGGCCGGUGCAGAUUUGUUACUCUCAGUCAUUUAUAGCACCUGCGCCUGCCUCUCUGCCUGCACCCCCGCAGCGGCUUCUAUCUCUUUGUCCACUCAAAGUUUCAAACCCCUAACUUCUCAUACCAGUAAGUACUAUUGAGAUAGUAUAUACUACCAGCAUUUCCUAAAUUUAUAUAUGAUUAAAUUCUGUUAAGAUUUUACGUACUUUAUUGGCAUACUACGAUAUGUUAGUGCUACUCCGCAUUUGCUUGUAACUUUCAUUGUAGACAUGUUUGUUGAUAGAAGCUUCCUUCGUAACCUCCUCCGGAACUUUUUCGUAGUGGCUCCCUUCCAUGCCUUAUUUUUGUGUGAAAUUCGAAGUGGCUCUAUUCCAUUAUAUUCCA
This is a long non-coding RNA of Coffea arabica (coffee), 691 nucleotides long. RefSeq lists it as uncharacterized. The record is from RefSeq and is a predicted model, not a curated record. Lineage: Eukaryota; Viridiplantae; Streptophyta; Magnoliopsida; Gentianales; Rubiaceae.